Molecule: ribosomal RNA, 336 nt
Filed under: Allogymnopleurus thalassinus
Lineage: Eukaryota; Metazoa; Arthropoda; Insecta; Coleoptera; Scarabaeidae
Description: partial 16S ribosomal RNA
Source: RNAcentral
AAAGUCUGGCCUGCCCUAUGAAUUUUUAAAUGGCUGCGGUACUCUGACCGUGCAAAGGUAGCAUAAUAAUUAGUUUCUUAAUUGGGAACUGGAAUGAAAGGUCGCACGAGAAAAAGACUGUCUCAAUUUAAUUUGAAUUAGAAUUUUAUUUUUAAGUAAAAAAGCUUAAAUGCUAUUAAAAGACGAGAAGACCCUAUAGAGUUUUAUAAUUUUAUAUAUACUUAAAAGUUAAAGUAUUAUAGAUUUAAUUAUAUAUGAAAUUAUUUGGUUGGGGCGACUAAAAAAUUAGAAGAACUUUUUUUACUAAUAAACAUUUAUUUAUGAUUAAGUGAUCCA